UACGUAGGGUGCAAGCGUUGUCCGGAAUUAUUGGGCGAAAAGCGCGCGUAGGCGGUAGAAUAAGUCUGAUGUGAAAGCCCACGGCUCAACCGUGGAGGGUCAUUGGAAACUGGGAGACUUGAGUGCAGAAGAGGAAAGUGGAAUUCCAUGUGUAGCGGUGAAAUGCGCAGAGAUAUGGAGGAACACCAGUGGCGAAGGCGACUUUCUGGUCUGUAACUGACGCUGAUGUGCGAAAGCGUGGGGAUCAAACAGG
This 253-nucleotide ribosomal RNA is filed under the name uncultured bacterium. RNAcentral's name for it is "partial 16S ribosomal RNA". It matches the Rfam family "Bacterial small subunit ribosomal RNA", at positions 524 to 776 of the family's 1533-position model. The record is from RNAcentral.